RNAcentral lists this long non-coding RNA (1871 nucleotides) under Pan troglodytes (chimpanzee). RNAcentral describes it as "long non-coding RNA NONPTRT011575". The record is from RNAcentral. Lineage: Eukaryota; Metazoa; Chordata; Mammalia; Primates; Hominidae.
GCGCGGGGCUGGGGGGCGCAGAGCUCCAUUGGGCUGGGAACCAGCGCGUCUCGUGCCCUUGGGGGACCUGCCUGCCCGAGCCGCCUGCUAAGCCUCCCGCUCCCCUCCACGCUGGAGCGCGCGGAGCCCGGUCUGCUCGGAACUCCACUCUGCGGGAGCGGAGGCCGGCGCCAGCCCGGGAAGCCGCGCAGGGGGCGGGAGGCCGAGCGCGAGGCCCUUGGCGCCGGGCCUCCGCGUCCAGGCCGGGCAGGUGAGCAGUCUCCGUGCCUCCCGGUUGGCGUUCCCCUCAACGCGUGCGGUCCCGCCGGGGCCCACUGUCUCUCCGUCCGUCUGUCUCUCAACUUUUCCCAUCCUUUAGCUUACGAUUCUUCAUCAACUCGUAAAAUGAGAUCGCCGCGGAGCUCGAGCCUAUUUGGCUUCUCCGGAGACUAGCAAGACCCUCUGAAAGACACCGCGUCCCCAGGGAUAAUCCCCCGUGUCCGGCAAAGCUGCCCCGCUCGAGCGCGAACCCUGGGACCCAGCGCGGGAGGCAGACCAGCAGCUGGCCGCUGGGCUGUGAACGCCAGGACCGAGCGGAAGCUUCCCGCCCGGCCGCGAUCGGUGCCGCGGCUCUCAGGGAAGUGGCUACGCGCGGCCCUCGGGAAAGCAGAUUAUCGGAGCCCUUUCAGAGAGCGCACAACAAAUGCGCCCGCCAUCGAAUGCAUCAUUUACCACCGCAGAUCCGAGCGCUGAUGGGCAGGCAGAUAGCCCUCUGCUGGGGGCACGCGGGCUCCCCGUGCCCGUACCACUCGCCUGCCUGCCGGGGCCACUGAGUGUGCGCCCCGGUGUGCCCGGCGUGUUUGGAUGGACACGUGGGUGUGCCAGUGCAUGGGCUAACGCCGAUGCAACUGUGCGGGUGUGUCAAACAAGUGUACCACAAAAAAGUGCAAGUGUGCGAGCCCAUCCAUGCACACGCAUGGCAGGCGUCUGUGCUGAGUGCCCGGAGGCGGCCGAUGAGGCGGUUGGAGGGUCCACACAGGAGGCGGUGCUGCACUAAGCUUGUGGGCAGGCAUGCGGCCCAGGGUGGCUGGACACGUGGUGGAGGAAUGGGAGUGCAAGCCCGCGUGUCCGAGUGCAGCAGAUGAGCAUCCUGCGAGUGCCUCACUGUGUCUGCCCUGGAGGUGGCUGUUUAGGGGAGCACGCCGGAGGCCACUAGGGUGGAUGUGCUGUGUGCAUGCAAGUGCCCACCCUACGCUGUGUUUCGGGGCACACAAGCUACCUGUGCCUACCGGGAUGAGCAUGCAAGUGUCACCGCUCCCGCCGGGCGUGCUUGGGGUGUGCUUGGGUCUGCGUGAGGCUGUGUGUGUCCUGCCGUAUCUCUGCCCAGGUGUGCCCUGGUGAGCUGAGAGAGGGGCACGGGGAAGGGCAGUCGUCGAGGCCUGUCCGUGUGCCAGCGUGGGUGGACUCCGGGCUGGGGAAGCGACAGGGAAUGGUGUGUGCGGGUGUGACAGACGCCAGAGCGGCGGGGUGGAACGUGCUGUGUCACGGGAGACUUUCUUGACCAAAACGGAAUGUGCGAGUGUGGAAGGAAGAGGGGCCGUCCGCGGAGUUUGGGGACACCCGGGCGUCCGAGCCCCAGAGCCUCUGCAGCUGGGACAAGGAAGCCCGAGCCCGCCGCCUGAGGUCCCCGCGCCGUUAGUGACACGCGCCGCCGACAAAGGCUGUAUUUUUCCAGGCUCGCGCCCCGCCCGCGCGCGCGCGAUGGUCCCCAUGGCGACGCAGAUAGCGCCGCAGCCAUUUUCCCUAUCUCCCCAGAGUCUAUAAUACGGCGGGAUUAGCUCAUCUCCAGGCAGGUCAAACCCAAAGUCACACAACCUGCGACGCGGGCCCCG